UUUACAUGAUGAAUACCUAUAUGUUACCUUUUUUUCUGGCAUCUCUAAUGUUAGAAUGCGAAGUUUAAGUACUAUCCAUUCGAUGAAUACACUCAUUGACAAAUAUCUGACA
This 112-nucleotide small nucleolar RNA is filed under the name Torulaspora delbrueckii CBS 1146. RNAcentral describes it as "Small nucleolar RNA snR48". It matches the Rfam family "Small nucleolar RNA snR48". Rfam says of the family: snR48 is a member of the C/D class of snoRNA which contain the C (UGAUGA) and D (CUGA) box motifs. Most of the members of the box C/D family function in directing site-specific 2'-O-methylation of substrate RNAs. Lineage: Eukaryota; Fungi; Ascomycota; Saccharomycetes; Saccharomycetales; Saccharomycetaceae. The record is from Rfam by way of RNAcentral.